CCCUUAGAUGUCCUGGGCCGCACGCGCGCUACACUGAGUGUCUGAGAUACGAGUCUGCCUGGUCCGGCAAGGUCUAGGUAAUCGCUAAAAGACACAUCAUGCUUGGGAUAGAUUAUUGCAAAUAUUAAUCUUGAACGAGGAAUUCCUAGUAAGCGCAAGUCAACAGCUCGCGUUGAUUACGUCCCUGCCCUUUGUACGCACCGCCCGUCGCUACUACUGAUUGGAUGUUUAAGCGAGGUUCUCGAACUGCUAGCGACUUAGCUUCGGUGAGGUCGCAGUGUGGGAAGUGAACCUAGCUUUGGUGUCUAGAGGAAGUAAAAGUCGUAACA
This 329-nucleotide ribosomal RNA is filed under the name uncultured eukaryote. Its description in RNAcentral is "partial 18S ribosomal RNA". It matches the Rfam family "Eukaryotic small subunit ribosomal RNA", at positions 1470 to 1796 of the family's 1831-position model. The record is from RNAcentral.